CCUACGGGUGGCAGCAGUGAGGAAUAUUGGUCAAUGGCCGGAAGGCUGAACCAGCCAUGCCGCGUGAAGGUCAGUGCCCUAUGGGCGUUAAACUUCUUUUGUACGGGAGCAAUAAUGGUCACGUGUGGCCAGACGAGAGUACCGUACAAAUAAGCAUCGGCUAACUCCGUGGCCGCAGCGGCGGUGGUACGGGGGGUGCAAGCGUUAUCCUGAGUUAUUUGGGUUAAAGGGUGCGUAGGGUGGGAGGUAAGUCAGCGGUGAAAUGCCCCCGCGCAACGGGGUGAAGUGCCAUUGAUACUGCCUUGCUGGAAUGCGGAUGCGGUGGGAGGAAUGUGUGGUGUAGCGGUGAAAUGCAUAGAUAUCACACAGAACACCGAUUGCGAAGGCAUCUCACG
Molecule: ribosomal RNA, 395 nt
Filed under: uncultured bacterium
Lineage: Bacteria
Description: partial 16S ribosomal RNA
Rfam family: Bacterial small subunit ribosomal RNA
Source: RNAcentral